AGAGUUUGAUCAUGGCUCAGAUUGAACGCUGGCGGCAGGCCUAACACAUGCAAGUCGAACGGUAACAGGAAGCAGCUUGCUGCUUUGCUGACGAGUGGCGGACGGGUGAGUAAUGUCUGGGAAACUGCCUGAUGGAGGGGGAUAACUACUGGAAACGGUGGCUAAUACCGCAUAACGUCGCAAGACCAAAGAGGGGGACCUUCGGGCCUCUUGCCAUCAGAUGUGCCCAGAUGGGAUUAGCUUGUUGGUGAGGUAACGGCUCACCAAGGCGACGAUCCCUAGCUGGUCUGAGAGGAUGACCAGCCACACUGGAACUGAGACACGGUCCAGACUCCUACGGGAGGCAGCAGUGGGGAAUAUUGCACAAUGGGCGCAAGCCUGAUGCAGCCAUGCCGCGUGUAUGAAGAAGGCCUUCGGGUUGUAAAGUACUUUCAGCGGGGAGGAAGGUGUUGUGGUUAAUAACCACAGCAAUUGACGUUACCCGCAGAAGAAGCACCGGCUAACUCCGUGCCAGCAGCCGCGGUAAUACGGAGGGUGCAAGCGUUAAUCGGAAUUACUGGGCGUAAAGCGCACGCAGGCGGUCUGUCAAGUCGGAUGUGAAAUCCCCGGGCUCAACCUGGGAACUGCAUUCGAAACUGGCAGGCUUGAGUCUUGUAGAGGGGGGUAGAAUUCCAGGUGUAGCGGUGAAAUGCGUAGAGAUCUGGAGGAAUACCGGUGGCGAAGGCGGCCCCCUGGACAAAGACUGACGCUCAGGUGCGAAAGCGUGGGGAGCAAACAGGAUUAGAUACCCUGGUAGUCCACGCCGUAAACGAUGUCUACUUGGAGGUUGUGCCCUUGAGGCGUGGCUUCCGGAGCUAACGCGUUAAGUAGACCGCCUGGGGAGUACGGCCGCAAGGUUAAAACUCAAAUGAAUUGACGGGGGCCCGCACAAGCGGUGGAGCAUGUGGUUUAAUUCGAUGCAACGCGAAGAACCUUACCUGGUCUUGACAUCCACAGAACUUUCCAGAGAUGGAUUGGUGCCUUCGGGAACUGUGAGACAGGUGCUGCAUGGCUGUCGUCAGCUCGUGUUGUGAAAUGUUGGGUUAAGUCCCGCAACGAGCGCAACCCUUAUCCUUUGUUGCCAGCGGUCCGGCCGGGAACUCAAAGGAGACUGCCAGUGAUAAACUGGAGGAAGGUGGGGAUGACGUCAAGUCAUCAUGGCCCUUACGACCAGGGCUACACACGUGCUACAAUGGCGCAUACAAAGAGAAGCGACCUCGCGAGAGCAAGCGGACCUCAUAAAGUGCGUCGUAGUCCGGAUUGGAGUCUGCAACUCGACUCCAUGAAGUCGGAAUCGCUAGUAAUCGUGGAUCAGAAUGCCACGGUGAAUACGUUCCCGGGCCUUGUACACACCGCCCGUCACACCAUGGGAGUGGGUUGCAAAAGAAGUAGGUAGCUUAACCUUCGGGAGGGCGCUUACCACUUUGUGAUUCAUGACUGGGGUGAAGUCGUAACAAGGUAACCGUAGGGGAACCUGCGGUUG
RNAcentral lists this ribosomal RNA (1522 nucleotides) under Salmonella enterica. RNAcentral's name for it is "bacterial SSU rRNA". It matches the Rfam family "Bacterial small subunit ribosomal RNA". RNAcentral also lists the same sequence under 7 other names. The record is from RNAcentral. Lineage: Bacteria; Pseudomonadati; Pseudomonadota; Gammaproteobacteria; Enterobacterales; Enterobacteriaceae.